RNAcentral lists this transfer RNA (73 nucleotides) under Cricetulus griseus (Chinese hamster). It matches the Rfam family "tRNA". From Rfam's summary of the family: Transfer RNA (tRNA) molecules are approximately 80 nucleotides in length. Their secondary structure includes four short double-helical elements and three loops (D, anti-codon, and T loops). Further hydrogen bonds mediate the characteristic L-shaped molecular structure. tRNAs have two regions of fundamental functional importance: the anti-codon, which is responsible for specific mRNA codon recognition, and the 3' end, to which the tRNAs corresponding amino acid is attached (by aminoacyl-tRNA synthetases). tRNAs cope with the degeneracy of the genetic code in two manners: having more than one tRNA (with a specific anti-codon) for a particular amino acid; and 'wobble' base-pairing, i.e. permitting non-standard base-pairing at the 3rd anti-codon position. Lineage: Eukaryota; Metazoa; Chordata; Mammalia; Rodentia; Cricetidae. The record is from Rfam by way of RNAcentral.
UGGGGUGUGGCUUACUUGAUAGAGUACUUGUUUGGUAUGCAAGAGGCCCUGAGUUCAAGCCCCAGUACCAUAA